This 253-nucleotide ribosomal RNA is filed under the name uncultured bacterium. RNAcentral describes it as "partial 16S ribosomal RNA". It matches the Rfam family "Bacterial small subunit ribosomal RNA", at positions 524 to 776 of the family's 1533-position model. The record is from RNAcentral.
UACAGAGGGUGCGAGCGUUAAUCGGAAUUACUGGGCGUAAAGCGUGCGUAGACGGUUAUUUAAGUCGGGUGUGAAAGCCCCGGGCUCAACCUGGGAAUUGCAUUCGAGACUGAAUAGCUAGGGUACGGUAGAGGGAAGUGGAAUUUCCGGUGUAGCGGUGAAAUGCGUAGAUAUCGGGAGGAACACCGGUGGCGAAGGCGGGUCUCUGGGCCGAUACUGACGCUGAGGAGCGAAAGCGUGGGGAGCGAACAGG